RNAcentral lists this long non-coding RNA (299 nucleotides) under Mytilus galloprovincialis (Mediterranean mussel). The record is from RNAcentral. Lineage: Eukaryota; Metazoa; Mollusca; Bivalvia; Mytilida; Mytilidae.
GUAAUUUGCUACUCUGGAAAAAUAUUAAUUAAGAUUAUUAUUAUUGUUUAUGUUUACAAUCCGAAAAAUUAAAAUAAAAAGAACUUCGAUUUCCACCAAUGAAAUGUCGUACACCAUUCAUUCACACCAUUCCCGAUUGCACGUUACACGAUCACACCAUUCCUCAUACACCAUUACACCAUUCCCCUUACACCAUACACCAUAGCACCAUACACCUUACACCAUUGCACCAUACACCUUACACCAUUACACCAUACACGUUUUUUUGGGAAGUUUACACCAUCCAAGGGCUGUAAUGA